ACGCAUGGAAACGUGUGCUAAUACCGUAUACGCCCUUCGGGGGAAAGAUUUAUCGGGGAUGGAUGAGCCCGCGUUGGAUUAGCUAGUUGGUGGGGUAAAGGCCUACCAAGGCGACGAUCCAUAGCUGGUCUGAGAGGAUGAUCAGCCACAUUGGGACUGAGACACGGCCCAAACUCCUACGGGAGGCAGCAGUGGGGAAUAUUGGACAAUGGGCGCAAGCCUGAUCCAGCCAUGCCGCGUGAGUGAUGAAGGCCCUAGGGUUGUAAAGCUCUUUCACCGGUGAAGAUAAUGACGGUAACCGGAGAAGAAGCCCCGGCUAACUUCGUGCCAGCAGCCGCGGUAAUACGAAGGGGGCUAGCGUUGUUCGGAAUUACUGGGCGUAAAGCGCACGUAGGCGGAUAUUUAAGUCAGGGGUGAAAUCCCGGGGCUCAACCCCGGAACUGCCUUUGAUACUGGGUAUCUAGAGUCCAGAAGAGGUGAGUGGAAUUCCGAGUGUAGAGGUGAAAUUC
Molecule: ribosomal RNA, 509 nt
Filed under: Rhizobium sp. Sand_R2A_G11
Lineage: Bacteria; Pseudomonadati; Pseudomonadota; Alphaproteobacteria; Hyphomicrobiales; Rhizobiaceae
Description: bacterial SSU rRNA
Rfam family: Bacterial small subunit ribosomal RNA
Source: RNAcentral